GUAUAGCCCUGAUAGUAAUGAAAAGCUUUUUGAAGUGGAAAGCCUAUUUUUGCAGUGCUAAAAAAGCGACCCAAAGAAGCUCUUUUUAGUGCUAGCAAAAUUAGCUUGACACAAAAAAACUUGUAAUGAAUAGCAGGAUUAGCU
This 144-nucleotide small RNA is filed under the name Flavobacterium tiangeerense. Its description in RNAcentral is "Flavo-1 RNA". It matches the Rfam family "Flavo-1 RNA". The record is from RNAcentral. Lineage: Bacteria; Pseudomonadati; Bacteroidota; Flavobacteriia; Flavobacteriales; Flavobacteriaceae.